CAUCCUGACAUUUCCAAUAUUUUUCUGUAUUUUUACAUGUCAGGGCUUCUUCCCCCCUCGGGGAGUGUGGCUUCUUCUCUAAUUGGCUCCUCUAUGUCUAUAUUCACCUUUGAGGAAGAACAGUUAAAUCACAGAAAGGAUUAUCAUAAAAGAGAUAGCUUCUGUCGCAUACUGUUGCUGCCAUGAAAUCUCUAAACAAUGAAUUCAGCUCAUCUUGGACAAAAACAUUCAAAGUCAUGAGGCAAUAUUACUUUGAAUUGCUUCUCUAGGUUAUCUGCCCUAGCAACAAAAGAUAUGAAUAAAAUAUUGUGUUUUCCCAGA
Molecule: long non-coding RNA, 321 nt
Organism: Mastomys coucha (southern multimammate mouse)
Lineage: Eukaryota; Metazoa; Chordata; Mammalia; Rodentia; Muridae
Exons: 3
Source: RefSeq, a predicted model, not a curated record